GUCGGUGUGUCCGAGUGGUUAAGGAGACAGACUAGAAAUCUGUUGGGCUCUGCCCGCACAGGUUCAAAUCCUGUCGCCAACG
RNAcentral lists this transfer RNA (82 nucleotides) under Zancudomyces culisetae. It matches the Rfam family "tRNA". From Rfam's summary of the family: Transfer RNA (tRNA) molecules are approximately 80 nucleotides in length. Their secondary structure includes four short double-helical elements and three loops (D, anti-codon, and T loops). Further hydrogen bonds mediate the characteristic L-shaped molecular structure. tRNAs have two regions of fundamental functional importance: the anti-codon, which is responsible for specific mRNA codon recognition, and the 3' end, to which the tRNAs corresponding amino acid is attached (by aminoacyl-tRNA synthetases). tRNAs cope with the degeneracy of the genetic code in two manners: having more than one tRNA (with a specific anti-codon) for a particular amino acid; and 'wobble' base-pairing, i.e. permitting non-standard base-pairing at the 3rd anti-codon position. The record is from Rfam by way of RNAcentral. Lineage: Eukaryota; Fungi; Kickxellomycota; Harpellomycetes; Harpellales; Legeriomycetaceae.